UUGGAAGAGUUUGAUCCUGGCUCAGGAUGAACGCCGGCGGUGUGCCUAAUACAUGCAAGUCGAACGCGUUGGCCCAAUUGAUUGAUGGUGCUUGCACCUGAUUGAUUUUGGUCGCCAACGAGUGGCGGACGGGUGAGUAACACGUAGGUAACCUGCCCAGAAGCGGGGGACAACAUUUGGAAACAGAUGCUAAUACCGCAUAACAACGUUGUUCGCAUGAACAACGCUUAAAAGAUGGCUUCUCGCUAUCACUUCUGGAUGGACCUGCGGUGCAUUAGCUUGUUGGUGGGGUAACGGCCUACCAAGGCGAUGAUGCAUAGCCGAGUUGAGAGACUGAUCGGCCACAAUGGGACUGAGACACGGCCCAUACUCCUACGGGAGGCAGCAGUAGGGAAUCUUCCACAAUGGGCGCAAGCCUGAUGGAGCAACACCGCGUGAGUGAAGAAGGGUUUCGGCUCGUAAAGCUCUGUUGUUAAAGAAGAACACGUAUGAGAGUAACUGUUCAUACGUUGACGGUAUUUAACCAGAAAGUCACGGCUAACUACGUGCCAGCAGCCGCGGUAAUAAA
RNAcentral lists this ribosomal RNA (568 nucleotides) under Limosilactobacillus fermentum. RNAcentral describes it as "bacterial SSU rRNA". It matches the Rfam family "Bacterial small subunit ribosomal RNA", at positions 1 to 527 of the family's 1533-position model. The record is from RNAcentral. Lineage: Bacteria; Bacillati; Bacillota; Bacilli; Lactobacillales; Lactobacillaceae.